RNAcentral lists this ribosomal RNA (453 nucleotides) under uncultured Paraprevotella sp. RNAcentral describes it as "bacterial SSU rRNA". It matches the Rfam family "Bacterial small subunit ribosomal RNA", at positions 341 to 792 of the family's 1533-position model. Lineage: Bacteria; Pseudomonadati; Bacteroidota; Bacteroidia; Bacteroidales; Prevotellaceae. The record is from RNAcentral.
ACGGAAGGCAGCAGUGAGGAAUAUUGGUCAAUGGGCGUGAGCCUGAACCAGCCAAGUAGCGUGAGGGAUGACUGCCCUAUGGGUUGUAAACCUCUUUUGUUUGGGAAUAAAGUCAGGGACGCGUCCCUGUUUGUAUGUACCUUUCGAAUAAGCAUCGGCUAAUUCCGUGCCAGCAGCCGCGGUAAUACGGAAGGUGCGAGCGUUAUCCGGAUUUAUUGGGUUUAAAGGGAGCGUAGGCGGACUGUUAGGUCUGUGGUCAAAUGUCAGGGCCCAACCUUGGCAUGCCAUGGAAACCGGCGGUCUUGAAUACACGCAAGGCAGAUGGAAUUCGUCGUGUAGCGGUGAAAUGCUUAGAUAUGACGAAGAACUCCGAUUGCGAAGGCAAUCUGCUGGAGUGCGAUUGACGCUGAGGCUCGAAAGCGCGGGGAGCGAACAGGAUUAGAUACCCUGGUA